Molecule: ribosomal RNA, 440 nt
Filed under: uncultured bacterium
Lineage: Bacteria
Description: partial 16S ribosomal RNA
Rfam family: Bacterial small subunit ribosomal RNA
Source: RNAcentral
CCUACGGGUGGCAGCAGUGAGGGAUAUUGGUCAAUGGGGGAAACCCUGAACCAGCAACGCCGCGUGAGGGAAGACGGUUUUCGGAUUGUAAACCUCUGUCCUCUGUGAAGAUAAUGACGGUAGCAGAGGAGGAAGCUCCGGCUAACUACGUGCCAGCAGCCGCGGUAAUACGUAGGGAGCAAGCGUUGUCCGGAUUUACUGGGUGUAAAGGGUGCGUAGGCGGCUUUGCAAGUCAGAAGUGAAAUCCAUGGGCUUAACCCAUGAACUGCUGUUGAAACUGCAGUGCUUGAGUGGGCCAGAGGUAUGCGGAAUGCCUGGUGUAGCGGUGAAAUGCGUAGAGAUCAGGAGGAACACCAGUGGCGAAGGCGGCCUGCUGGGGUUUAACUGACGCUGAGGCACGAAAGCGUGGGUAGCAAACAGGAUUAGAUACCCGAGUAGUC